Molecule: non-coding RNA, 1549 nt
Organism: Leptonychotes weddellii (Weddell seal)
Lineage: Eukaryota; Metazoa; Chordata; Mammalia; Carnivora; Phocidae
Source: RefSeq, a predicted model, not a curated record
UGAACAUCAUAGGAAUGAAGCCAAGAUAUACGUAUUAAAUCAACUCUUAAUGAAAUCUAGUGAGAUAGAAGAGCCUUGCACCUAUUGAUCCACUAAUACGGGGCAAAUACAACCACAUGACAUAAUGAGCAAAUGGGAAGAGGAACCAGUUGCAGAAAACAGAUUCACCUCUAGGUGCUUUACUACAGAAAGGAAUUUACUACAAGGCAUUAAACAGCUUACAAGAACAUUGGGAAGGAUGAAGAAAUAGACUUAAAAUUGAGCUUUCAUCAAAGCUCACCCAAAUCUACACUGCAGAACUGAGCACCCAGAUGCACUGCUGCCGUUUCUAUGCUCAGGAAGUCACUUCACGACUACAGAACAGGCUCUACAGCUGCCUGAUUUCGAAACAUGUCACCGCUGCCAUUGCUACAAGUAAUACGCCUCGAGGAUCAGGGAACAAUCGCUCGCUCCUAAACGACACUGUACCUGUUACAAUCCAAAUCAGAAAAAUAAAUGACUCAUGCUUUGCAUUUUUAGUUUCCCAGUUCCUGAGGCAGAGCAAGUAAUACCAGAAAGGGGUUGGAAUAGAUGUUAUAUCCAUGUCCAUCAUAUUCAUCAUAUAUGGUGAGUUGGAAUAUAAGAAAUGCUAUAAUACGUCCACUUAAUGUCUUACUUUGCCUUGAAGUGCACAAACUAGACAAAAUAUGAAACGUCUCUGAAUAACAAUAACAUUUUAAAAACAAAACUCCUGUUAUGUUUCUCUGUGUGUAAAAUGUCUAAGAGCUUCCAUUAAAUUAAUAAAUCCAAGGGAAUGGUACCAAUGGAUUGCACACAGGAGCAAGUAAGUCUCUGCUCAUAAAAAAUUUUACAGCUACAGCUUGGAAGACAAUGACUGGAAACAUGACACCCAAAGCCCAGACUAAUACUUCUGUAUGUAAUACUCAUAGGAGUAGAAUUUAUAUCAAAAAAUAACACACACAAAUAAGUGUACAGAGGAUAAAUGUGGAGCUUGGUAUGUUUUACAAAGUGUAAUAAGCACCAAGAUCCAGAAAUUGCCCCCCUCUUGUCUCUUCCCAGUCACCUCUUUUUCAAGUUAACUACCAUACCAACUAAUAACAUCAUAAAUUAGUUGUCUUUGAACUUUAUAUAAAUAGAAUCAUGCCCUGUGUACUCUUGUAUUUGGCUUCUUGUGCUCAAAAUUGUUUGUGAUAUUUAAGCGUGUUGGUGGGGACCAGAAUAUUCUAUUCAUUUUAAUUACUGAAGAGCAUUUGAUUGUAUCAAUACACUACAGUUUUUCUUGUCUAUUCUAAUGUUGAUGGACUUUAGGGUGGUUUCUAGUUUGGAGCUACUAGAAAUAACGCUAUGAAUAUAUUUGUAUAACGCUUUUGGUAAACAUAUAUACUUGUUUUUAGGGGGUAUUAUUUAUAUCUAGGGAUAGGAAUAUAUCUAGGAAUUCAUAAGGUAAUGUAUCAGUUUUAAUAGACUUGACCAAGACUUUCUUUUAAUUAUUGUAGCUAUAUAAUAUUUUCCAAAAUGCUUAUAUCAAUUUGCACUCCCACCAGCAAUG